UUGAGCCGUGUGCAGUGAAAAUUGCAUGCACGGCUCUUAAGGUUUAAAUAAAUUUUUAAAGAAGAAAAUUUAACUCCUAACUAUGUACUUCCAU
Non-coding RNA from Chlamydomonas reinhardtii, 94 nucleotides. NCBI's taxonomy places the organism in Eukaryota, Viridiplantae, Chlorophyta, Chlorophyceae, Chlamydomonadales, Chlamydomonadaceae. The record is from Rfam.